GAAAACCACAGCAUCUGGGUGGGCAGCAUUUUAGGCUGUAGAAGUACUUAAUAUACACACUGGGAUCCUGUUCGUAUAAGGGAAUGAAAUGUGAGUUCGGGAUCCCAGGUCUUCUUUCCCUGCACUGUUGUAUGUUUAUGGUCUUUACUCGGAUACUCUGAAUAAUAUUUGAUGGGAGCAUGAUUUGGUUUUUUGGUGUUACAUGAAUGUACAAUUUUAAUAU
RNAcentral lists this unclassified non-coding RNA (223 nucleotides) under Hevea brasiliensis (rubber tree). The record is from RNAcentral. Lineage: Eukaryota; Viridiplantae; Streptophyta; Magnoliopsida; Malpighiales; Euphorbiaceae.